RNAcentral lists this ribosomal RNA (469 nucleotides) under uncultured bacterium. RNAcentral's name for it is "SSU rRNA". It matches the Rfam family "Bacterial small subunit ribosomal RNA", at positions 26 to 518 of the family's 1533-position model. The record is from RNAcentral.
AGGAUGAACGCUGGCGGCGUGCCUAACACAUGCAAGUCGAACGUCCUGUCUCGCAAGAGGCAGGGAGUGGCGGACGGGUGAGUACCACGUGGGUCAUCUACCGUGAGGUGAGGAAUACCGGCGAGAAAUCGCCGACAAGACCGCAUAGCCUCGGUGCAAGUCGAGGAAAGCUCUCUCGAGAGAGGGAGCGCCACACGAGGAGCCUGCGCCCGAUUAGCUAGCUGGUGGAGUAAUGGUUCACCAGGGCGACGAUCGGUAGCUGGUCUGAGAGGACGAUCAGCCACACUGGGAUUGAGAACGGCCCAGACUCCUACGGGGGCAGCAGUGAGGAAUUUUCGUCAAUGGGGGCAACCCUGAACGAGCAACGCCGCGUGCAGGAAGAAGGUUUCGGAUCGUAAACUGCUUUUCUCGGGAAGAGAACGGACGGUACCCGAGGAAUCAGCCCGGCUAACUACGUGCCAGCAGCCGC